This 257-nucleotide ribosomal RNA is filed under the name uncultured bacterium. RNAcentral describes it as "partial 16S ribosomal RNA". It matches the Rfam family "Bacterial small subunit ribosomal RNA", at positions 524 to 773 of the family's 1533-position model. The record is from RNAcentral.
UACGAAGGGGGCUAGCGUUGUUCGGAUUUACUGGGCGUAAAGCGCACGUAGGCGGAUCGUUAAGUCAGGGGUGAAAUCCUGGGGCUCAACCCCAGGAACUGCCCUUUGAAUACUGGACGAUCGUCGAGUCCGGAAGAGGUGAGUGGAACUCCGAGUGUAGAGGUGAAAUUCGUAGAUAUUCGGAGGAACACCAGUGGCGAAGGCAGCUCGCUGGGACGGUACGUGACGCUGAGACGCGAAAGCGUGGGGAAGCAAAC